CCUACGGGAGGCAGCAGUGGGGAAUAUUGGACAAUGGGCGCAAGCCUGAUCCAGCCAUGCCGCGUGAGUGAUGAAGGCCUUAGGGUUGUAAAGCUCUUUUGUCCGGGACGCGGUACCGGAAGAAUAAGCCCCGGCUAACUUCGUGCCAGCAGCCGCGGUAAUACGAAGGGGGCUAGCGUUGCUCGGAAUCACUGGGCGUAAAGGGCGCGUAGGCGGCCAUUCAAGUCGGGGGUGAAAGCCUGUGGCUCAACCACAGAAUUGCCUUCGAUACUGUUUGGCUUGAGUCUGGUAGAGGUUGGUGGAACUGCGAGUGUAGAGGUGAAAUUCGUAGAUAUUCGCAAGAACACCGGUGGCGAAGGCGGCCAACUGGACAGACUGACGCUGAGGCGCGAAAGCGUGGGGAGCAAACAGGAUUAGAUACCCUUGUAGUC
This 431-nucleotide ribosomal RNA is filed under the name uncultured bacterium. RNAcentral describes it as "partial 16S ribosomal RNA". It matches the Rfam family "Bacterial small subunit ribosomal RNA", at positions 338 to 795 of the family's 1533-position model. The record is from RNAcentral.